RNAcentral lists this long non-coding RNA (597 nucleotides) under Capsella grandiflora. RNAcentral's name for it is "long non-coding RNA (CGRA_LNC001432)". The record is from RNAcentral. Lineage: Eukaryota; Viridiplantae; Streptophyta; Magnoliopsida; Brassicales; Brassicaceae.
AUUGCAAGUUUCCGUGCAAUGCCCAACACUCUUAUGUUCCGUCCUGCUGAUGGCAACGAAACAGCUGGUGCAUACAAGAUCGCUGUCACCAAGCGUAAGACACCAUCUAUCCUAGCUCUGUCUAGGCAAAAGCUGCCUCAUCUUCCAGGUACAUCCAUUGAAGGAGUUGAAAAGGGAGGAUAUACAAUUUCGGACGACUCUGCAGGCAACAAACCCGAUGUGAUUUUGAUUGGAACUGGAUCUGAGCUAGAGAUUGCUGCACAGGCUGCGGAGGUGCUUAGGAAAGAAGGCAAAACCGUUAGAGUUGUAUCUUUCGUGUGCUGGGAGCUAUUUGACGAGCAAUCAGAUGAAUACAAGGAGAGUGUGUUGCCAUCAGCUGUAUCAGCUAGAGUUAGCAUCGAAGCAGCUUCGACUUUCGGAUGGGGAAAGAUUGUUGGAGGCAAAGGAAAGUCCAUUGGUAUUAACUCUUUUGGGGCCAGCGCACCAGCACCGUUGCUGUACAAGGAGUUUGGUAUAACCGUUGAAGCUGUUGUUGAUGCGGCUAAGUCAUUAUUCUAAGAGAUUUAAAAUCAGACCAUAGUCUCUGCUGUCUGAAAC